This 691-nucleotide ribosomal RNA is filed under the name uncultured Staphylococcus sp. Its description in RNAcentral is "bacterial SSU rRNA". It matches the Rfam family "Bacterial small subunit ribosomal RNA", at positions 60 to 734 of the family's 1533-position model. The record is from RNAcentral. Lineage: Bacteria; Bacillati; Bacillota; Bacilli; Caryophanales; Staphylococcaceae.
AGUCGAGCGAACGGACGAGAAGCUUGCUUCUCUGAUGUUAGCGGCGGACGGGUGAGUAACACGUGGAUAACCUACCUAUAAGACUGGGAUAACUUCGGGAAACCGGAGCUAAUACCGGAUAAUAUUUUGAACCGCAUGGUUCAAAAGUGAAAGACGGUCUUGCUGUCACUUAUAGAUGGAUCCGCGCUGCAUUAGCUAGUUGGUAAGGUAACGGCUUACCAAGGCAACGAUGCAUAGCCGACCUGAGAGGGUGAUCGGCCACACUGGAACUGAGACACGGUCCAGACUCCUACGGGAGGCAGCAGUAGGGAAUCUUCCGCAAUGGGCGAAAGCCUGACGGAGCAACGCCGCGUGAGUGAUGAAGGUCUUCGGAUCGUAAAACUCUGUUAUUAGGGAAGAACAUAUGUGUAAGUAACUGUGCACAUCUUGACGGUACCUAAUCAGAAAGCCACGGCUAACUACGUGCCAGCAGCCGCGGUAAUACGUAGGUGGCAAGCGUUAUCCGGAAUUAUUGGGCGUAAAGCGCGCGUAGGCGGUUUUUUAAGUCUGGUGUGAAAGCCCACGGCUCAACCGUGGAGGGUCAUUGGAAACUGGAAACUUGAGUGCAGAAGAGGAAAGUGGAAUUCCAUGUGUAGCGGUGAAAUGCGCAGAGAUAUGGAGGAACACCAGUGGCGAAGGCGACUUUCUGGUC